UUCCUGAUAGCUGAGCUAGUAAAGAAUCUGCCUAUAAUGCAGGAGACCCUGGUUAGAUUCUGGGUUGGGAAG
This 72-nucleotide transfer RNA is filed under the name Ovis aries (sheep). It matches the Rfam family "tRNA". From Rfam's summary of the family: Transfer RNA (tRNA) molecules are approximately 80 nucleotides in length. Their secondary structure includes four short double-helical elements and three loops (D, anti-codon, and T loops). Further hydrogen bonds mediate the characteristic L-shaped molecular structure. tRNAs have two regions of fundamental functional importance: the anti-codon, which is responsible for specific mRNA codon recognition, and the 3' end, to which the tRNAs corresponding amino acid is attached (by aminoacyl-tRNA synthetases). tRNAs cope with the degeneracy of the genetic code in two manners: having more than one tRNA (with a specific anti-codon) for a particular amino acid; and 'wobble' base-pairing, i.e. permitting non-standard base-pairing at the 3rd anti-codon position. The record is from Rfam by way of RNAcentral. Lineage: Eukaryota; Metazoa; Chordata; Mammalia; Artiodactyla; Bovidae.